This 345-nucleotide unclassified non-coding RNA is filed under the name soil metagenome. RNAcentral describes it as "partial contains 5.8S ribosomal RNA, internal transcribed spacer 2, and large subunit ribosomal RNA". The stretch from base 1 to 119 matches the Rfam family "5.8S ribosomal RNA", at positions 35 to 154 of the family's 154-position model. The record is from RNAcentral.
GAUGAAGAACGUAGCGAAAUGCGAUACGUAAUGUGAAUUGCAAAUUCAGUGAAUCAUCGAGUCUUUGAACGCACAUUGCGCCCCCUGGUAUUCCGGGGGGCAUGCCUGUCCGAGCGUCAUUGCUGCCCUCAAGCACGGCUUGUGUGUUGGGCCCCGUCCUCCGAUCCCGGGGGACGGGCCCGAAAGGCAGAGGCGGCACCGCGUCCGGUCCUCGAGCGUAUGGGGCUUUGUCACCCGCUCUGUAGGCCCGGCCGGCGCUUGCCGAUCAACCCAAAUUUUUAUCCAGGUUGACCUCGGAUCAGGUAGGGAUACCCGCUGAACUUAAGCAUAUCAAUAAGCGGAGGA